CGGUGCUUGCACCGGGUGAUCAGUGGCGAACGGGUGAGUAACACGUGAGCAACCUACCCUUCACUCUGGGAUAAGCCUUGGAAACGAGGUCUAAUACCGGAUACGAGACGCACGGGCAUCUGUAGCGUCUGGAAAGAUUUAUUGGUGGAGGAUGGGCUCGCGGCCUAUCAGCUUGUUGGUGGGGUAAUGGCCUACCAAGGCGACGACGGGUAGCCGGCCUGAGAGGGCGACCGGCCACACUGGGACUGAGACACGGCCCAGACUCCUACGGGAGGCAGCAGUGGGGAAUAUUGCACAAUGGGCGAAAGCCUGAUGCAGCGACGCCGCGUGCGGGAUGACGGCCUUCGGGUUGUAAACCGCUUUCAGCAGGGAAGAAGCGAAAGUGACGGUACCUGCAGAAGAAGCGCCGGCUAACUACGUGCCAGCAGCCGCGGUAAUACGUAGGGCGCAAGCGUUGUCCGGAAUUAUUGGGCGUAAAGAGCUCGUAGGCGGUUUGUCGCGUCUGCUGUGAAAACCUCAGGCUCAACCUGGGGCUUGCAGUGGGUACGGGCAGACUAGAGUGCGGUAGGGGUGACUGGAAUUCCUGGUGUAGCGGUGGAAUGCGCAGAUAUCAGGAGGAACACCGAUGGCGAAGGCAGGUCACUGGGCCGCAACUGACGCUGAGGAGCGAAAGCAUGGGGAGCGAACAGGAUUAGAUACCCUGGUAGUCCAUGCCGUAAACGUUGGGCACUAGGUGUGGGGUCCAUUCCACGGAUUCCGUGCCGCAGCAAACGCAUUAAGUGCCCCGCCUGGGGAGUACGGCCGCAAGGCUAAAACUCAAAGAAAUUGACGGGGGCCCGCACAAGCGGCGGAGCAUGCGGAUUAAUUCGAUGCAACGCGAAGAACCUUACCAAGGCUUGACAUACACCGGAAAAGUGCAGAGAUGUGCUCCCCGCAAGGUCGGUGUACAGGUGGUGCAUGGUUGUCGUCAGCUCGUGUCGUGAGAUGUUGGGUUAAGUCCCGCAACGAGCGCAACCCUCGUCCCAUGUUGCCAGCGGGUUAUGCCGGGGACUCAUGGGAGACUGCCGGGGUCAACUCGGAGGAAGGUGGGGAUGACGUCAAAUCAUCAUGCCCCUUAUGUCUUGGGCUUCACGCAUGCUACAAUGGCCGGUACAAAGGGCUGCGAUACCGCGAGGUGGAGCGAAUCCCAAAAAGCCGGUCUCAGUUCGGAUUGGGGUCUGCAACUCGACCCCAUGAAGUCGGAGUCGCUAGUAAUCGCAGAUCAGCAACGCUGCGGUGAAUACGUUCCCGGGCCUUGUACACACCGCCCGUCAAGUCAUGAAAGUCGGUAACACCCGAAGCCGA
This 1344-nucleotide ribosomal RNA is filed under the name Cellulomonas sp. RNAcentral describes it as "bacterial SSU rRNA". It matches the Rfam family "Bacterial small subunit ribosomal RNA", at positions 74 to 1430 of the family's 1533-position model. Lineage: Bacteria; Bacillati; Actinomycetota; Actinomycetes; Micrococcales; Cellulomonadaceae. The record is from RNAcentral.